RNAcentral lists this ribosomal RNA (329 nucleotides) under uncultured eukaryote. Its description in RNAcentral is "partial 18S ribosomal RNA". It matches the Rfam family "Eukaryotic small subunit ribosomal RNA", at positions 1470 to 1796 of the family's 1831-position model. The record is from RNAcentral.
CCCUUAGAUGUUCUGGGCCGCACGCGCGCUACACUGAUGCAUUCAACGAGUCUAAAACCUGCUCUGAUAGGGGUGGGUAAUCUUUUGAAUGUGCAUUGUGAUUGGGAUAGAUGAUUGCAAUUUUUCAUCUUCAACGAGGAAUGCCUAGUAAACGCAAGUCAUCAGCUUGCAUUGAUUACGUCCCUGCCCUUUGUACACACCGCCCGUCGCUCCUACCGAUUGAAUGAUCCGAUGAAUAUCAUGGAUUGAGGAUGCAAGUAGGUUCGCCUAUCUUCAUCUUCGAGAAGUGAAGUAAAUCUUAUCAUUUAGAGGAAGGAGAAGUCGUAACA